Molecule: transfer RNA, 88 nt
Filed under: Candidatus Bathyarchaeota archaeon
Lineage: Archaea; Thermoproteati; Candidatus Bathyarchaeota
Description: tRNA-Gly
Rfam family: tRNA
About the family: Transfer RNA (tRNA) molecules are approximately 80 nucleotides in length. Their secondary structure includes four short double-helical elements and three loops (D, anti-codon, and T loops). Further hydrogen bonds mediate the characteristic L-shaped molecular structure. tRNAs have two regions of fundamental functional importance: the anti-codon, which is responsible for specific mRNA codon recognition, and the 3' end, to which the tRNAs corresponding amino acid is attached (by aminoacyl-tRNA synthetases). tRNAs cope with the degeneracy of the genetic code in two manners: having more than one tRNA (with a specific anti-codon) for a particular amino acid; and 'wobble' base-pairing, i.e. permitting non-standard base-pairing at the 3rd anti-codon position.
Source: RNAcentral
GCGGCGGUAGAGAAGCUUGGUCAAACUCGCACCAUUCCCAAUGGUGUGCUAUAGAGCUUCGUGGGCUCAAAUCCCGCCCGCCGCACCA